This 33-nucleotide small nuclear RNA is filed under the name Cervus elaphus hippelaphus. The record is from RNAcentral. Lineage: Eukaryota; Metazoa; Chordata; Mammalia; Artiodactyla; Cervidae.
GUGCUCGCUUCGGCAGCACAUAUACUAAAAAUG